Molecule: ribosomal RNA, 253 nt
Filed under: uncultured bacterium
Lineage: Bacteria
Description: partial 16S ribosomal RNA
Rfam family: Bacterial small subunit ribosomal RNA
Source: RNAcentral
UACGUAGGGUGCGAGCGUUAAUCGGAAUUACUGGGCGUAAAGCGUGCGCAGGCGGUUCGUUGUGUCGGCGGUGAAAGCCCCGGGCUUAACCUGGGAAUGGCCGUUGAAACUGGCGAACUGGAGUGUGGCAGAGGGGGGUGGAAUUCCGCGUGUAGCAGUGAAAUGCGUAGAUAUGUGGAGGAAUACCGAUGGCGAAGGCAGCCCCCUGGGAUAACACUGACGCUCAUGCACGAAAGCGUGGGGAGCAAACAGG